This is a long non-coding RNA of Mytilus trossulus (common blue mussel), 4255 nucleotides long. RefSeq lists it as uncharacterized. The transcript is spliced from 2 exons. NCBI's taxonomy places the organism in Eukaryota, Metazoa, Mollusca, Bivalvia, Mytilida, Mytilidae. The record is from RefSeq and is a predicted model, not a curated record.
CGGAGAAAAUAUACUUUUGAAUGUAGAAAUUGUGUACAGUUGAUCAUGUGAUUACUCAUUUUAUUCCAGUUUGCAGUUGUGUAUUAUCCAGAUUAUACUGGUUAUUUUCACACAUAGCGUGGCUACAGAAAUACUUUGUCGAAUGAAAUAUUUUUUGUGAAAUGAAGGUCAUUCUUAAUCAUGUUUAUAAAAAUUUGUUUGGUUACAUCACAAAAGAUGAGAAUAACUGCAGUGACCUAAGGUUGGAACUACAGCAAAGCUGAGAGUAGAUAAACUUGGACCAACUAUAGAUAGCUAGAUACUCAAUCAUAAGCUAAAAGAAUGUCCCAAGCAAAAAAAAGUAUUUCAUUCGAAAAUGGUGAUGAACCAUGUGUUCCAAUUACCCGUCCUGACUGUAUAGAAAUAAUGGAUCCUAUGAAAUCCAACUAUUCUACCAUCCAUGACUUGGAGGGAGGGCAGUUCUUAUCCAACUACUCAACUGUCACAAGUACUAAUAGUGCUCCAUAUGUACGAGAUACCGCUCUUCUUCUUCACAGAGAGCAUAAAUUAUUUACACAAAGUCGGGAAGACAAAACGAGAAGAAGAUCAAGGAAUGCCACAUUCUGUUUCAUCUUCGCAAUUAUACUCAUUUUGGUAUUAGUUGUGAUUGCAGCAGUUUCUCUACAUCAUAAAUUAACAAAUACGAGCAAUACUGAUGAGUUUAACCACCAGAACAAUACCAUUUUUAAAGCAAUUGGUAUAAAGGAUAUGAAUCUCAAUCUCAGUGAUAUAAAGGCAGAUAAAGACAUCAACCUCAGUCACACAAAAGAGAUGGGGCUGAAAACGAACACCACUUCUAAAUUUUUUCUUUAGCUUAUAAAUACCCCUGGUAACAAAAUUGUAUUUUUGUGAGGAGAUACUAUUAAGAAUUUGCUUUUUAAUGAAUAGUAUAUGCGUUUUCCUUAAAUUAAAGAAAUUUGAAAAUUGAUAAAGCAGGAUGAUUGCAAGAGAGUAAAAUCAGGGUUGAAAAUGGUAACAAAUUUUUGUUACAGCUGAAACCAUGUAUGCACAUGGUGUUAGAGUUAAAACCAUGAGGGUUUUGUUAAGCUUGUUUUUUUGUUUAUGUUUUGGUUAAAGUUUUGAUCAAUAGAAAUGUUGAGAAUUGUGAUGUUUUAUUUCAAUUUUACUUUAACCUGAUAAUUCAGAUUAGAUACAAGUAAUAUUUUUGCAAUAACAAACUUACAUCUUCUCUUUUUUUAUUAAUCGCUAAGCCUUAGUUCCACUGAUUUUAUGUCUUUAGCUGGGGCUAGUUAUUGUUUUAUAAGUGCUUUAUAAUGUUUGAUAGUGUUAUAUAUUGUUUGAUUAUGUCUUUGUUUUUUGUCACCUAUACAUGUAGGUACAAUGUAUAGAUGUUUGUUUUGGUGUUUUUUAUUCACCUUAUUACAAAUGUAUUUGAUGUAUUGUAGUAUAUUUUGAUGCAUUGUUUGUUUGUUGUUCACCCACUUCAACUGAAAAUCCAGUAUACCAUUAUUAUUUAUUAUUUAUGUGGUCAGUUAUUAGUUAUGAAGUCAGAAUACCCUUAUUUCAAAUAAAAUGUAUUAUUAAGUUUUCUUUAUAUAACAUUCAUGUGACCUGACCAAAAAAGGCCUUGUUUGAAAAGGGUAAAACCCUUACACAUUUAUGCUUUGGAUGAUAGCUUUUAUGCUGUCAGUGAUACUUUUUUUUAUGUCACUCCAGAGUUCAGGGACUUACCACACAUAUAUGUAGUUUCACCAAACAAUGGUUUAAUGGAAAUAUUUGGGACAUGUAAAUUAUAUACUGUCUGUACUGUCAAAACAGCUGUACAUGUGUCUAGUAUUGCUUCAUGAAAGUUUUGAAGGCCAAAAUUUCUCAUAUAUUAUUUAACAUAUAACUGUCUCUUGUAACUACUUUUAAUUGGCCUAACUACUACAUGUAUAUGAGUAUGGUAUACACCAUUGUCACGUGUUUGUAAUGUACACAUGUACAUGUGUUCUCACAAUAUGGUCAGUUAUGAGAUAUUAUCUUUAUUUUUUGUAUUGAUAAUUGUCAAAAUAAUUUAUUUGCAAGCUUGUAUGCAAGUUUUUACAGUAAUAGGGAGACCUCCACAAGAAUGAAUAUCAGUUUGAAUAUGGUUGGGAAGAUUUCCAAAUUUAAUAUUUUUAAUGAUAUAAGAAAAUGAUGAAAGGGGUGAUAUUCUAUUUGUUUUUAUUUAUUUAUUUAAAUUGAAGUUCAUGUAUGUUACAAGAUGUUAGACAAGUUGACUUUUUUAUGAAUUGAUAAGUGAUAGAACAGAUUUGUCUGGUAUAAUGUUUAGUAAGAAAAUGGUUGUGAUUUUAAAUACAUUAUACCACAAGGCCAAAUAAAAUGAAGAUGUUGUUCUGGUUGUUCUGGUUUCCCUAUCUACACUUAUUUUGAACCCCUAGCUCCUUUACCGUAAACUUUUUUGGGCCAUUUUUAAGUAAGCAUCUUUUAUUCACAUGUGUCUUAGUAUAUUCUAUAGAAAAAAUUAUCAAAAAAAGGAAAAUAACAUACCUACCAAACCUGUUAUUUUAAUAACAUAUAUAGAUAAUAACCAGAAUCACACAAUUAUUCUAUUUGGCCUGAGUGAUUACUUUUAUAGAUGGUUCAGUGUAAAAGUUUUCAAUUUUAUAUUAAAAAAAUAGUUAAAUCCCGACAUGCCUGACAACUAUUUAUUUUCAGCUUUAAUACUGAAGACGUCUCUACUUAAUUAAUUUUGCUUGUAAUCACAUUUUAUGAGGUUAUGUUAAUUAGAUGCUUUAGCUAAAUACAUGAUUUAUGAUUUACCUAUCUUUUCAUUAAAGCUAAUAAAGCUGCCAUACUUGGUAUGGGUUUAACAACUUAAACACUACAAAAUAAUUUGAUUAUUUUAACACAACAAAAAGACUGAAGUGAAAGAAAAAAGUCUAGAAAUGUCCUUUGAUAAACAUUAAUGAUCUGUGUGUUAGAUUCACAUUAACAAGGGUCCUUAAACAGCCAAAAUUUAUUCCAGCAAUUGAUAAAUUGAAAAAAAAAUAUUAUGAAGACAGACAUGCAAUGUUAUAUUUAUAAUCCUAUAUCUCAAUACCUGAUUUUUAACUUUUUUGAAUUGAGUUUCCUUGAUGAAUAUUUUUAACAUGCCGUACACACAAAUAUUAUUAUUUAUUUGGUCUGCUCUUAGCAGAAAUAUUGUUGUCUUUUCAAAGUUUUUCUUUGUUUAAUAUUCAAACAAUUUUUAAAUACAUCUUCACUUAUUUUAUCUAUAUUGACUAUAACCAUGAUUCAGAUUUAUAGUCAUUUUCAGUAUGUAAACUAAUACAAGGAGUGUCUUAUAGUCACAGGUUUAAUAUUAGAAAGGAAAAGUUAUCUAAUACAAGAAAUAAUAUGGAGAUAUAUAUAUUUUAUAUUCUAAUUUAUUCGGUAUAAAAUGUAAUUGUAUUUAUCAUACUUAAUCCCUUCAAAUGACGCACAUUUCUGUUCAGCUCAGUUGGAUAAUUUCAGGUGUUUCUUUAGAUACUUUAAUAUUUUCAAAAACAUUUUGAAUUAGUAUUUAAUCAAAAAGGACAAUAUAGAACUUUCAAAACCUUUCUAAGGGUUCUUUUGUAAUAAAAUAACUAAUGUGCGUGUAGACUUUUAUAUACAGACAAAUCUGAUCACAUGAUUUCUACCUGAAUGCCGCUGUCAAAUUAAUUGAAAAGAAAUAAGUCUGCCUUUUUACAAUUGUUUUUAACUUAAAUAAGAACAGAGUAUAAAGUAAUAAUCAAAACAGGAAUUAUUAUGGAUUUUGCUCUAAGACUGUAAUGUACAUGUAUUGUUGGAAACAUUUACAUGAUUUUAUCUCUGGUUGAUAUUUUGUCUCUGUGGCAAUAAUAUCAUCUUUCCUUAUUUUAUAGCAAUAGAAAUGUUUUAGUAUCUUUAGUCUUUUAAGAAUUUGCAUUAUGAGCCUUUUUUUAGGGAUUUUAAAGUAGUGCAGCCUAACUACGCAUGUUAAAUGUAUACCUUAUAGCUUGGGUGAAGAUUAUUUCUUAAUUGAUGGAUGCAGUACUCCUUUUUUGAGGGAUAUUUAAUUCAAAGAUUUUAGGGAUACAGGGUAUUUCCUAAACAAGGUUAUUAUUUGACUUUCUUAUACUUUAAAUUGUUUAUUAUUUGUUUAGUUCUAUUUUAGUUUUUUGUCUCCACCAUUUAUGUUUAGACUUAAAAUAACAAUAUGACUGCUUGUAAAUGUUAAGUUUCAGUAAAUAAACCUUUAUUGUGUUCA